UAGCCUUUCGAAAGAAAGAUUAAUACCUGAUGGUAUGAUGAGAUUGCAUGAUAGCAUCAUUAAAGAUUUAUCGGUGUACGAUGGGGAUGCGUUCCAUUAGGUAGUAGGCGGGGUAACGGCCCACCUAGCCAACGAUGGAUAGGGGUUCUGAGAGGAAGGUCCCCCACAUUGGAACUGAGACACGGUCCAAACUCCUACGGGAGGCAGCAGUGAGGAAUAUUGGUCAAUGGACGAGAGUCUGAACCAGCCAAGUAGCGUGAAGGAUGAAGGUCCUACGGAUUGUAAACUUCUUUUAUAAGGGAAUAAACCCUCCCACGUGUGGGAGCUUGUAUGUACCUUAUGAAUAAGCAUCGGCUAACUCCGUGCCAGCAGCCGCGGUAAUACGGAGGAUGCGAGCGUUAUCCGGAUUUAUUGGGUUUAAAGGGAGCGCAGACGGGUCGUUAAGUCAGCUGUGAAAGUUUGGGGCUCAACCUUAAAAUUGCAGUUGAUACUGGCGUCCUUGAGUGCGGUUGAGGUGUGCGGAAUUCGUGGUGUAGCGGUGAAAUGCUUAGAUAUCACGAAGAACUCCGAUUGCGAAGGCAGCACACUAAUCCGUAACUGACGUUCAUGCUCGAAAGUGUGGGUAUCAAACAGGAUUAGAUACCCUGGU
Molecule: ribosomal RNA, 649 nt
Filed under: uncultured bacterium
Lineage: Bacteria
Description: bacterial SSU rRNA
Rfam family: Bacterial small subunit ribosomal RNA
Source: RNAcentral